This 26-nucleotide non-coding RNA is filed under the name Homo sapiens (human). The record is from RNAcentral. Lineage: Eukaryota; Metazoa; Chordata; Mammalia; Primates; Hominidae.
UCACCCGAGGAUUUGUGGGCCUUGCU